CCAACAAAUGCUCCACAAACAAAGUCUCCACCACCAAUACAACAGGUCAAUGUAACAAAUGUUGCCACAACUCCCACCCCAACAACAAGCAAAAGAUCCACCACAACAACUCAGAGUUCUACAAAAAUUGUCACCACUCUUCGUCCUUUUAAAACUACAUCUUUUCACACAACAAGACGAGUGACAGAAAUGAGUGCGAAAAGAACCACUCCUUCAGGUGCUGCCACCUCUUUCAGUGGAAUUGUUGGUGGUCUCAUAGUAAUGGCUGUUCUAAUAGUACUUCCAGUUUUCGUCAAACUUCUUUAUAACUAUGGGAAAUCAGGCUCUUACAAUAUUCAUGAGAUCAGCAAAGAACUUUAUGUUGUCUUAUCUGAUAAAAUGGAGACUGGCAAGCCCACAGAAGAAAUACAUAUAUAAUCUUGGCCAUGCUGAUUACAAAGCUAUUAACGACUGGCUAACUAACAAAGCCAAAAAGAAGAGUUAAGGAAGAAAAUUCUUUUGCACAGACUCUAUCUAGUUUCACUAGGGCUCUCAUGAGAAGUGGAUAACAUUUUCACCGUAACCACUCUCCUUUCUGCAAAUGGAAUUUUCUUAUUGGCCUUGGCAUUUGAAUGAAGUUAAGAAUGAUGUCAGCCUCAGAAUCUUCCUCUGAAGCCAGCUAAACCUCCUGAAAACACUAGCAAUUUACAGGCUCUUAGACUAUUUCCAUUUUUUUUCUAAGUGUGCAGCAGAGGACUGAAUCUUAUCAUAGAACAGAAAAGAAAGAAAAAAAAAACCACUUAACCAAAAUCCAUUCAAUAUCAAUUGGCUUUCACUAGUCAGUUGAUACUAUUUUAAUUCUCUUUAAGUCCCAAACACUUGCUCCUUCACUCUAGCUGCAUGCCAUUUCCUCAAGCUCCCCUUUUUGUCUUUAUAACGUUUAUCAAAAGAAGAAAUCUUCCAUUUAAAAAGGACUAUAAUUAGGCAUUAAGAGUAAUUUUUUUUAAAAAUCAGGAUGACAUUUUUUCAAAUCUUGCUCCAAGCUGCCAGAAAUAGAGGAACUGAAUUGUCAAAUCUUCCUUUCUAUCAAUCACCUUUGAAAGAAGAAAUCCCUGAUGAAGAAAAAUGAGCUGUCCUUGGGACCUGAUAAUGAUGUUAACAUAAAAAACAAUGGGAAGGUGUGAUGACCCAUGACUUCUUGAUGUUUUGAGCUCCAUCAGGAUUUUAGAAACAGGGAAUUGCAUAGUUCCCUUUUUUCCUUUUUGGUAGACUACAUCAGUAGGCACUUUUGUCCAUAAUAUAUCUGGGGUGCGGGGUGGGGAAGAGGGCGGGGAGACUAUGAAAAGGACUAUUCUGAUGUUAGUGCCUAAGUUAAACCAGUUUUAUUUUUACAUCCAGAGACUGUAUAAAGGUGAAUUUUCUAAAGAAAGAAAAAGGUUCUGUACUUUUGAAAUAAUGAAUUCAUAGCCAAAUUGUAUAUUUUGUUGUCUUGUAAUUUAAAAUUAAUUUAUUUAUUUACUUCAGUGAGUGUAAGUUUUACAUAUGUACUGUGAAAAUUCACAUGUUCAGGAUUUAUAAAGAGAAUCUUAUUUUCCUGAAAUAAAAAUAAGCAAACAAAUUCUAUGGUGAUCUUG
This 1613-nucleotide long non-coding RNA is filed under the name Monodelphis domestica (gray short-tailed opossum). RNAcentral describes it as "lncRNA (ENSMODG00000049277.1)". Lineage: Eukaryota; Metazoa; Chordata; Mammalia; Didelphimorphia; Didelphidae. The record is from RNAcentral.